This 554-nucleotide ribosomal RNA is filed under the name Hoplolatilus purpureus (purple sand tilefish). RNAcentral's name for it is "partial 16S large subunit ribosomal RNA". It matches the Rfam family "Bacterial large subunit ribosomal RNA", at positions 264 to 1050 of the family's 2925-position model. The record is from RNAcentral. Lineage: Eukaryota; Metazoa; Chordata; Actinopteri; Malacanthidae.
CGCUAAAAAGCUAGCCCCCCACCCUAAGAACAACAAACCCCUAUUAAUACCCCCCAAUGCACUACGAUCCUCACUGAAUCAAACCAUUCUUCCCUCCUAGUAUAGGCGAUAGAAAAGAGACACGUUGGAGCUACAGAGAAAGUACCGCAAGGGAAUGCUGAAAGAGUAGUGAAAAAAUCCAGUAAAGCUUGAAAAAGCAAAGAUUCCAACUUGUACCUUUUGCAUCAUGAUUUAGCUAGUAACCUCCAAGCAAAGUGCACUUUAGUUUGGUACCCCGAAACUAAGUGAGCUACUCCAAGACAGCCUAUUAGCAGGGCAAACCCGUCUCUGUGGCAAAAGAGUGGGAAGAGCUUUGAGUAGCGGUGACAGACCUAUCGAACUUAGUUAUAGCUGGUUGCCUGAGAAAUGGAUAAAAGUUCAGCCUCCCGGCUUCAUGCUUUCCCCACCCAAACCCAACUACCCUUAGAUACCCUAAUGAAACCGAGAGAGUUAGUCAGAGGGGGUACAGCCCCUUUGACACAAGACACAACUUUGACAGAAGGCUAAAGAUCAAA